Molecule: ribosomal RNA, 468 nt
Filed under: uncultured bacterium
Lineage: Bacteria
Description: partial 16S ribosomal RNA
Rfam family: Bacterial small subunit ribosomal RNA
Source: RNAcentral
GACGAACGCUGGCGGCGUGCUUAACACAUGCAAGUCGAACGGAAAGGCCCUGCUUUUGUGGGGUGCUCGAGUGGCGAACGGGUGAGUAACACGUGAGUAACCUGCCCUUGACUUUGGGAUAACUUCAGGAAACUGGGGCUAAUACCGGAUAGGAGCUCCUGCUGCAUGGUGGGGGUUGGAAAGUUUCGGCGGUUGGGGAUGGACUCGCGGCUUAUCAGCUUGUUGGGGGGGUAGUGGCUUACCCAGGCUUUGACGGGUAGCCGGCCUGAGAGGGUGACCGGCCACAUUGGGACUGAGAUACGGCCCAGACUCCUACGGGAGGCAGCAGUGGGGAAUAUUGCACAAUGGGCGGAAGCCUGAUGCAGCAACGCCGCGUGCGGGAUGACGGCCUUCGGGUUGUAAACCGCUUUCGCCUGUGACGAAGCGUGAGUGACGGUAAUGGGUAAAGAAGCACCGGCUAACUACGUG